RNAcentral lists this ribosomal RNA (1554 nucleotides) under Chiasmocleis ventrimaculata (dotted humming frog). Its description in RNAcentral is "16S ribosomal RNA". It matches the Rfam family "Bacterial large subunit ribosomal RNA". Lineage: Eukaryota; Metazoa; Chordata; Amphibia; Anura; Microhylidae. The record is from RNAcentral.
GCUAAAAAUUUAGCCCCACACAACACAAAUAUCCCAAAUAAACUAAAACAUUCAACUUACUUAGUACAGGCGAUAGAAAAGUACAUAGGAGCUUUAAAAAUAGUACCGCAAGGGAAUAAUGAAAUAAAAAUGAAAUAACCCUCAAGCACCACAAAGCAGAGUAUUUACCUCGUACCUUUUGCAUCAUGGUUUAGCUAGCCAACCCAAGCAAAAUGCAUUUAAGUUUGACCCCCCGAAACUUAGCGAGCUACUUCGAAACAGCCUUCCAGGGCCAACCCGUCUCUGUUGCAAAAGAGUGGGAAGAUUUCCAAGUAGAGGUGAUAGACCUAUCGAGCUAUGUGAUAGCUGGUUACUCAAGAAAAGGAUCUGAGUCCAUCCUUAAGCUUUCUCAUAAAUAAAAAUAAACUACCAAGCUUAAGAAACAUUCAAAUAAGGUACAGCCUAUUUGAAACAGGAAACAACCUCAAACAUAGGGUAAUAUUAUUUAUAAUAACCAAGUGGGCCUAAGAGCAGCCAACUUUUAAAAAGCGUUAAAGCUUAAUUAUUUAUAACAUAAAUUCCAAAAAUAUUGCCAAACCCCUAAACAAUAUUGAGUGAUUCUAUGCCCAUAUAGAAAACCCAAUGCUAAAACUAGUAACAAGAAGUAAACCUUCUCCUAAAUGUAAACGUAAGCCUAACAAACCUGGCACCUAUCGCCUGUGAACAAAAAGUGGAAACAACCCAAGAAAAAUCCACUAUCAUUAGCGUUAACCUUACACCAGAACAUUCCAGGAAAGAUUUAAAGGGAAGGAAGGAACUCGGCAAAAAUUAAUCCCGCCUGUUUACCAAAAACAUCGCCUUCUGGAAAAUUAUAGAAGGUCCAGCCUGCCCAGUGACGUAGUUAAACGGCCGCGGUACUCUAACCGUGCGAAGGUAGCGCAAUCACUUGUUCUUUAAAUGAGGACUAGUAUGAACGGCAUCACGAGGAUUAUACUGUCUCCCCCCCCUAAUCAGUGAAACUGAUCCCCCCGUGAAGAAGCGGGGAUAGAAAUAUAAGACGAGAAGACCCUAUGGAGCUUUAAACUUAGCACUACCUGCCUUUACGCAUCCCCUAACAAUUAGACAGUGAUCGUGCAUGUUUUAAGUUGGGGUGACUGCGGAGCAAAAACGAACCUCCGCGAUGACACACCUUAAAUCUGAGAACUACACUUCAAAGAAUCAAUAAGCUGACAUUUAUUGACCCAAACAAUUUGAUCAACGAACCAAGUUACCCUAGGGAUAACAGCGCAAUCCAUUUCAAGAGCUCAUAUCGACAAAUGGGUUUACGACCUCGAUGUUGGAUCAGGGUAUCCCAGUGGUGCAGCCGCUACUAAAGGUUCGUUUGUUCAACGAUUAAAACCCUACGUGAUCUGAGUUCAGACCGGAGUAAUCCAGGUCGGUUUCUAUCUAUAAAGAGUUUUUCCUAGUACGAAAGGACCGGAACAACAUGGCCAAUGCUGAAACAAGCCAUAGCCACUAAUUAAUGACUAUACUCAAUUAUGUCAUGGCCUAAAAAACGCCCGAGACAAGGGCUUU